GGGGGGAUUUGGGAACCCCCAGCCCCAAAUUCUGCGGCAGCGGGGGCUGGGCUGGAUCAGGCACUUCUGGGCACUGCGGGGAGGGGACAGGGACGGACAGAGGGACGGACAGGAUGGACAGAGGGAUGGACAGGGAGGGACAGAGGGAUGGACACAGGGAUGGAUUGGGAUGGACACAGGGAUGGACAGGGAUGGACAUGGGGGGGGGGACAGGGAUGGACAGAGGGAGGGACAGAGGGAUGGACAGAGGGAUGGACAGGGAUGGAUGGGAUGGACAGAGGGAUGGACACAGGAUGGACACAGGGAUGGA
Molecule: long non-coding RNA, 310 nt
Filed under: Zonotrichia albicollis (white-throated sparrow)
Lineage: Eukaryota; Metazoa; Chordata; Aves; Passeriformes; Passerellidae
Description: lncRNA (ENSZALG00000001258.1)
Source: RNAcentral